This 49-nucleotide non-coding RNA is filed under the name Trypanosoma lewisi. Lineage: Eukaryota; Euglenozoa; Kinetoplastea; Trypanosomatida; Trypanosomatidae. The record is from RNAcentral.
AUUAAAAUUAAACAACAUAGAUCACGGUGAUGAAAAUGGAUGUAGAUCU